This 471-nucleotide ribosomal RNA is filed under the name uncultured bacterium. Its description in RNAcentral is "bacterial SSU rRNA". It matches the Rfam family "Bacterial small subunit ribosomal RNA", at positions 54 to 507 of the family's 1533-position model. The record is from RNAcentral.
CAUGCAAGUCGAACGGAGCACCUUGAUUGAGUUUCGGCAAAUGGAUAGGAAUGCUUAGUGGCGGACUGGUGAGUAACGCGUGAGGAACCUGCCUUCAGAGGGGGGACAACAGUUGGAAACGACUGCUAAUACCGCAUGACGCAUUUUGAUCGCAUGGUCGAAAUGCCAAAGAUUUAUCGCUGAAAGAUGGCCUCGCGUCUGAUUAGCUAGUUGGCGGGGUAACGGCCCACCAAGGCGACGAUCAGUAGGGGUUCUGAGAGGAAGGUCCCCCACAUUGGAACUGAGACACGGUCCAAACUCCUACGGGAGGCAGCAGUGAGGAAUAUUGGUCAAUGGACGAGAGUCUGAACCAGCCAAGUAGCGUGCAGGAUGACGGCCCUAUGGGUUGUAAACUGCUUUUAUAAGGGAAUAAAGUGAGUCUCGUGAGGCUUUUUGCAUGUACCUUAUGAAUAAGGACCGGCUAAUUCCGUG